RNAcentral lists this ribosomal RNA (253 nucleotides) under uncultured bacterium. RNAcentral describes it as "partial 16S ribosomal RNA". It matches the Rfam family "Bacterial small subunit ribosomal RNA", at positions 524 to 776 of the family's 1533-position model. The record is from RNAcentral.
GACGUAGGGUGCAAGCGUUGUCCGGAAUUAUUGGGCGUAAAGAGCUCGUAGGCGGUUUGUUGCGUCGGCUGUGAAAUCCCGAGACUCAACCUCGGGUCUGCAGUCGAUACGAGCAAACUAGAGUGUUGCAGGGGAGACUGGAAUUCCUGGUGUAGCGGUGAAAUGCGCAGAUAUCAGGAGGAACACCGGUGGCGAAGGCGGGUCUCUGGGCCGAUACUGACGCUGAGGAGCGAAAGCGUGGGGAGCAAACAGG